This 633-nucleotide ribosomal RNA is filed under the name Staphylococcus sp. Its description in RNAcentral is "bacterial SSU rRNA". It matches the Rfam family "Bacterial small subunit ribosomal RNA", at positions 97 to 717 of the family's 1533-position model. Lineage: Bacteria; Bacillati; Bacillota; Bacilli; Caryophanales; Staphylococcaceae. The record is from RNAcentral.
GGCGGACGGGUGAGUAACACGUGGAUAACCUACCUAUAAGACUGGGAUAACUUCGGGAAACCGGAGCUAAUACCGGAUAACAUAUUGAACCGCAUGGUUCAAUAGUGAAAGGCGGCUUUGCUGUCACUUAUAGAUGGAUCCGCGCCGUAUUAGCUAGUUGGUAAGGUAACGGCUUACCAAGGCAACGAUACGUAGCCGACCUGAGAGGGUGAUCGGCCACACUGGAACUGAGACACGGUCCAGACUCCUACGGGAGGCAGCAGUAGGGAAUCUUCCGCAAUGGGCGAAAGCCUGACGGAGCAACGCCGCGUGAGUGAUGAAGGUCUUCGGAUCGUAAAACUCUGUUAUCAGGGAAGAACAAAUGUGUAAGUAACUGUGCACAUCUUGACGGUACCUGAUCAGAAAGCCACGGCUAACUACGUGCCAGCAGCCGCGGUAAUACGUAGGUGGCAAGCGUUAUCCGGAAUUAUUGGGCGUAAAGCGCGCGUAGGCGGUUUUUUAAGUCUGAUGUGAAAGCCCACGGCUCAACCGUGGAGGGUCAUUGGAAACUGGAAAACUUGAGUGCAGAAGAGGAAAGUGGAAUUCCAUGUGUAGCGGUGAAAUGCGCAGAGAUAUGGAGGAACACCAGUGGCG